AUGCAGUCGAGCGAUGAAGUUUCCUUCGGGAAACGGAUUAGCGGCGGACGGGUGAGUAACACGUGGGUAACCUGCCUCAUAGAGUGGAAUAGCCUUCCGAAAGGAAGAUUAAUACCGCAUAAUGUUGAAAGAUGGCAUCAUCAUUCAACCAAAGGAGCAAUCCGCUAUGAGAUGGACCCGCGGCGCAUUAGCUAGUUGGUGGGGUAACGGCCUACCAAGGCGACGAUGCGUAGCCGACCUGAGAGGGUGAUCGGCCACAUUGGGACUGAGACACGGCCCAGACUCCUACGGGAGGCAGCAGUGGGGAAUAUUGCACAAUGGGGGAAACCCUGAUGCAGCAACGCCGCGUGAGUGAUGAAGGUUUUCGGAUCGUAAAGCUCUGUCUUUGGGGAAGAUAAUGACGGUACCCAAGGAGGAAGCCACGGCUAACUACGUGCCAGCAGCCGCGGUAAUACGUAGGUGG
RNAcentral lists this ribosomal RNA (463 nucleotides) under Clostridium sp. T70E36. Its description in RNAcentral is "bacterial SSU rRNA". It matches the Rfam family "Bacterial small subunit ribosomal RNA", at positions 55 to 534 of the family's 1533-position model. Lineage: Bacteria; Bacillati; Bacillota; Clostridia; Eubacteriales; Clostridiaceae. The record is from RNAcentral.